AUACAGAGGGUGCAAGCGUUAAUCGGAUUUACUGGGCGUAAAGCGCGCGUAGGUGGCUAAUUAAGUCAAAUGUGAAAUCCCCGAGCUUAACUUGGGAAUUGCAUUCGAUACUGGUUAGCUAGAGUAUGGGAGAGGAUGGUAGAAUUCCAGGUGUAGAGGUGAAAUGCGUAGAGAUCUGGAGGAAUACCGAUGGCGAAGGCAGCCAUCUGGCCUAAUACUGACACUGAGGUGCGAAAGCAUGGGGAGCAAACAGGAUUAGAUACCCUGGUAGUCCAUGCCGUAAACGAUGUCUACUAGCCGUUGGGGCCCUUGAGGCUUUAGUGGCGCAGCUAACGCGAUAAGUAGACCGCCUGGGGAGUACGGUCGCGAGACUAAAACUCAAAUGAAUUGACGGGG
This 396-nucleotide ribosomal RNA is filed under the name uncultured bacterium. RNAcentral describes it as "partial 16S ribosomal RNA". It matches the Rfam family "Bacterial small subunit ribosomal RNA", at positions 523 to 918 of the family's 1533-position model. The record is from RNAcentral.